RNAcentral lists this ribosomal RNA (606 nucleotides) under uncultured bacterium. Its description in RNAcentral is "bacterial SSU rRNA". It matches the Rfam family "Bacterial small subunit ribosomal RNA", at positions 263 to 859 of the family's 1533-position model. The record is from RNAcentral.
GCCUACCAAGGCUGCGAUGCAUAGCCGACCUGAGAGGGUGAUCGGCCACACUGGGACUGAGACACGGCCCAGACUCCUACGGGAGGCAGCAGUAGGGAAUCUUCGGCAAUGGACGCAAGUCUGACCGAGCAACGCCGCGUGAGUGAAGAAGGUUUUCGGAUCGUAAAACUCUGUUGUUAGAGAAGAACAAGGAUGAGAGUGGAAAGUUCAUCCCUUGACGGUAUCUAACCAGAAAGCCACGGCUAACUACGUGCCAGCAGCCGCGGUAAUACGUAGGUGGCAAGCGUUGUCCGGAUUUAUUGGGCGUAAAGCGAGCGCGGGCGGUCUUUUAAGUCUGAUGUGAAAGCCCCCGGCUUAACCGGGGAGGGUCAUUGGAAACUGGGAGACUUGAGUGCAGAAGAGGAAAGCGGAAUUCCAUGUGUAGCGGUGAAAUGCGUAGAUAUAUGGAGGAACACCAGUGGCGAAGGCGGCUUUCUGGUCUGUAACUGACGCUGAGGCUCGAAAGCGUGGGGAGCAAACAGGAUUAGAUACCCUAGUAGUCCACGCCGUAAACGAUGAGUGCUAAGUGUUGGAGGGUUUCCGCCCUUCAGUGCUGCAGCAAACGCA